UACGUAGGGUGCGAGCGUUGUCCGGAAUUAUUGGGCGUAAAGAGCUCGUAGGCGGUCUGUCGCGUCUGCUGUGAAAACUCAGGGCUUAACCCUGAGCUUGCAGUGGGUACGGGCAGACUAGAGUGCGGUAGGGGAGACUGGAAUUCCUGGUGUAGCGGUGAAAUGCGCAGAUAUCAGGAGGAACACCGGCGGCGAAGGCGGGUCUCUGGGCCGUAACUGACGCUGAGGAGCGAAAGCGUGGGGAGCGAACAGG
This 253-nucleotide ribosomal RNA is filed under the name uncultured bacterium. RNAcentral describes it as "partial 16S ribosomal RNA". It matches the Rfam family "Bacterial small subunit ribosomal RNA", at positions 524 to 776 of the family's 1533-position model. The record is from RNAcentral.